RNAcentral lists this transfer RNA (72 nucleotides) under Nematostella vectensis (starlet sea anemone). It matches the Rfam family "tRNA". From Rfam's summary of the family: Transfer RNA (tRNA) molecules are approximately 80 nucleotides in length. The record is from Rfam by way of RNAcentral. Lineage: Eukaryota; Metazoa; Cnidaria; Anthozoa; Actiniaria; Edwardsiidae.
UCCCAUAUUGUCUAGCGGUUAGGAUUUCUGGUUUUCACCCAGACGGCCCGGGUUCGACUCCCGGUAUGGGAA